UACGUAGGUGGCAAGCGUUAUCCGGAAUUAUUGGGCGUAAAGCGCACGCAGGUGGCUGCUUAAGUCUGACGUGAAAGCUCCUGGCUUAACCGGGAGAGGUCGUUGGGUACUGGGCGGCUUGAGGCGAGGAGAGGGGCGUAGAAUUCCCGGUGUAGUGGUGGAAUGCGUAGAUAUCGGGGGGAAUACCAGAGGCGCAAGCGGCGCCCUGGCCUGUGCCUGACACUCAUGUGCGAAAGCGUGGGGAGCGAACGGG
This 253-nucleotide ribosomal RNA is filed under the name uncultured bacterium. Its description in RNAcentral is "partial 16S ribosomal RNA". It matches the Rfam family "Bacterial small subunit ribosomal RNA", at positions 524 to 776 of the family's 1533-position model. The record is from RNAcentral.